GACGAACGCUGGCGGCGUGCUUAACACAUGCAAGUCGAACGGAAAGGCCCUGCUUGCAGGGUACUCGAGUGGCGAACGGGUGAGUAACACGUGGGUGAUCUGCCCUGCACUUCGGGAUAAGCCUGGGAAACUGGGUCUAAUACCGGAUAGGAGCCAUUUUUAGUGUGAUGGUUGGAAAGUUUUUUCGGUGUAGGAUGAGCUCGCGGCCUAUCAGCUUGUUGGUGGGGUAAUGGCCUACCAAGGCGGCGACGGGUAGCCGGCCUGAGAGGGUGGACGGCCACAUUGGGACUGAGAGACGGCCCAGACUCCUACGGGAGGCAGCAGUGGGGAAUAUUGCACAAUGGGCGCAAGCCUGAUGCAGCGACGCCGCGUGGGGGAUGACGGCCUUCGGGUUGUAAACACCUUUCGCUAGGGACGAAGCUUUUUGUGACGGUACCUAGAUAAGAAGCACCGGCUAACUACGUG
This 465-nucleotide ribosomal RNA is filed under the name uncultured bacterium. RNAcentral describes it as "partial 16S ribosomal RNA". It matches the Rfam family "Bacterial small subunit ribosomal RNA", at positions 28 to 507 of the family's 1533-position model. The record is from RNAcentral.